CAGCUCACGGUAAUGCCGGACCCUUAACCCACUGAGCGAGGCCAGGGAUCGAACACGCAACCUCAUGGUUCCUAGUCGGAUUUGUUAACCACUGGGCCACGACGGGAACUUCUGGUAGAUUACAAUUUUGACUGGUGGCCAAGGUGCGCCUCAUUGAGAAAAUGACACUUUUGAAAAGACUUGAGGCGGGUGAGGGAGGAGCCUUUCAAUGCAGAGGCAGAGCACGUCGGCUUGGCCAAGAAAUAGCAAGAGGCCCUGCAGACAGUGUGGACGAGGGGAGAGGUGGAGGCCAGAAGAGGAGAUGGUGCAGGACCUUGUCAGCAGCCGUGAGGACUCUGACGGGGAGGGCCCUGGGGGGUUCUGACUGGGGGAGGGAAAUGAUGGAAUCACGCUGAACAGGCUCACUCUCGGGUCUAUGCUGACGCGGAUUGUAGAGGGCAGCAGUCAUUUCUUCGGGCUGCCACAGCAGAGUGCCACAACCUGGGUGCUUUAAAACAAUAGAAGUCUUUUCUCUCACGGUUCUGGAGCCUAGAAGUCUGAAAUCAAAGUGUCAGUAGGGCCAUGCUCCCUCUGAAGGCGCUAGGAAAGAAUCCUUCUUGGCCUCUUCUAGCUCUGCUGGUUCCUGGCAUUCCUUGAUGUUCCUUGGCUUGUGGUAGCAAAAUUCCAGUCUCUGCCCCUGUGUCCACUUGGCCUUCUUCCCUCAAUCUCUGGGUCUCUAGAUCUCCCUCUGCUUAUUAAGGACAGCAGCCAUCGGAUGCAGGCAUGGGAACUGACCUCAUUGUAACUUGAUCACAGCUGCAAAAUCCCUCUUUCCACAUAAUGUCAUCUUCACAGGUACUGGAUGUUAGGACGUCAACCUAUCUUAACAGGAUUCCAAGCCUCAUCAAGGGUCAAGGCUGGAAACAGGGAGUCCAGCUGAGAAGGAAUGGCAGCAAUCAGGACCCAGGCUGCCGAUCCGACUGGACUUCACCAUGGACACUCCAUCCCCCAUCCCACUUGGUGUUUUCUUUGUAACGAUAAGUACAAUGGCAAUUAUCACUGCAACCAGAGCCCUCACUACUUGUGCCUAUCACCCCAUCCCAAUUUAGAUAAGGAGGCCCAAGGCAAAUCAGAGCACAUUCCCACUGUUGCUGGAUAUAGUCCACCCCUCCUUCCCUCCCUCCGCCCCCUCCCCCCUUCCUUGCUUCCAAAUAACAGACUUGGAACAAGAUGGCAGCCUCACAGAAGUGGGUCAUGGGGAUUGUGUCACACAGCAAGCACAAGGUCAGCUUUGGCUUCUGCUCGCUGAACAACUACUCCUGGUCUGGGUGACUUAGCAGUGACAGACCCUGGUAAACACACUGUCAGAGGACACCCAGUGAUGAUUUUCUAACUUCAUUCCUUUGCAAUUUCUUAGGAAAAGUUGGCUAGAAGGGUCCUUGGCUAGAAGUUGACUUCACUCCUGUGGAAUUUCUUAGGAAAGUUGGCUAGAACGACCCAUCACAGUGUCCAGAAGGGUCCUUGGCACUUCUGCGCUGGCUGGUCAACACAGGACGGAGGUGGCAAAAGGGAAGGGAUGUGAGGUACAUCCAGAUGGCUUAUGAUUCAAGACCGUUGUUUUAUCCAUUUUAGUUUCUAUAUAUAACCAAUUUAUACGGGAGUCUAAAAUCAUGUGUCUAAAACAUAAUAUAGUCUUAUUUUUCCUAGUAAUUUUGCCCAGCUGGCGUUUUCCCAACACCAGCUUCUGUGCACUUGGCUUUCCUAGGUGAGGAAGGGGCUCUAUGUGCUCCGCUGAAGCCAUGCAGGGUUCUUCGAGAUGAGAGGCAGUCAUAAUGUUCCCUUUCCUUUCUUCUGAAAUUCUGAGUGAGAGAAGCAGGUACCCUCAGUGGCUUCACACCUGUGUAGGUGUUAGAUGUGGUUUAGUGCAUCCUCUGCAGAGUAAUCCCUCCCUCUCUGCACCAGGGUCUCCCCAAGAGCAGCAGGGUGACCCUGGGGUGCAAGGUGUCAGUAGCUUCAUCUAUGGGUUGCCAUGGGGCCCAGGAGAGUGCCUCCCACUCAGUGUGUCUUCAGCUGCCUUUACAGACUAGCUACCAUGCAGCAGGUGUCAGCAACAUGAAGUGCAGCCAGAAGCAGCCAGAGCACACGGCUGAGAGGGUGGGGCUAAGAAGGGAAUCUGGCUUUUGUGGUUGAGAUUGGACUCGUGAUAAAUGACUAUCUCCGGUGCUUCUCCAGGAAGCUGACAAGUGGGGAGUUUCAUUUUAUUUUUUGUGGUAUCCAAAAGUGUCAUUUCCUACUAGCCAUGCUCGGUACUGCUAUGUUCAAUAGUGGGUCUUGACACAUGGUUUCUUUAUGGAUCUCAUUUUAUUUUUAUUUUAUUUUUGUCUUUUUAGAACCCUACCUGUGGCAUACAGAGGUUCUCAGGCUAGGAGUCGAAUUGGAACUACAGCUGCAGGCCUACACCACAACCACAGCAACGUUGGAUCCAAGCUGCAUCUGCGACCGACCCCACAGCUCACAGCAAUGCCAGAUCCUUAACCCACUGAGUGAGGCCAGGGAUCGAACCCACGUCCUCAUGGAUACUAGUCAGAUUCAUUAACUGCUGAGCCACAAGGGGAACUCCUGACACAUGGUUUUCAAAGGGACUACAGCUAUAGGUUCUUAAAUAAGGGCUAAGUGAGUUUUAAGAAUGACAAAUCACUUAUAAGCAUAUUCACGGUCCAGAAAGAAACACAGAGAAAAGUAUUAAUAUCUCUAUCCCAAUGAUAAUAAAUAUAACCCUCAUUUAGAGAUGCCCUUGCUUCCAUGGUGGAGGGUCUUCAGGGAGUGGUUGGGAUGCUGUACAUUCUACUUAAUUUGAGGCUACUGUCUGCACAUGGAGCCCACAGAGCUCAUCUCUUGAGAGCAUUUUAUUACCUUUAAAAAUUGAGACAUAAUUCACACACCAUAAAAUUCACCAUUUGAAAGUAGACAAUUCAGUUCUUGUAUAACUGAGUCAUUUUGUUGUACAGAAGAAAUUAUCUCAACAUUGUAAAUCAACUAUACUUUAAUAAAACUUUAAAAAUGAAAAAAAAAAAAAACAAACCCACCCAAUUUCAGAGUUCUUGCUGUGGCAAAAUGAGACUGGCGGCAUGUGGGCGGUAUCAGUACCAGGAUGCAGGUUCGAUCCCCAGCCCCGGUAGUGGUUGCAACUGUGCCUCUGUUUUGAUCCCUGGCCUGGGAACUCCACAUGCCAUGAGGCAGCCAAAAAAAAAAAAAAAAAAA
This is a non-coding RNA of Sus scrofa (pig), 3240 nucleotides long. NCBI's taxonomy places the organism in Eukaryota, Metazoa, Chordata, Mammalia, Artiodactyla, Suidae. The record is from RefSeq and is a predicted model, not a curated record.